This 38-nucleotide transfer RNA is filed under the name Artocarpus lanceifolius. RNAcentral describes it as "partial tRNA-His". Lineage: Eukaryota; Viridiplantae; Streptophyta; Magnoliopsida; Rosales; Moraceae. The record is from RNAcentral.
GCGGAUGUAGCCAAGUGGAUCAAGGCAGUGGAUUGGGA